UGGAUCUGUAAUGACUUAACUCUGAGUAUCUGAAUCAUGGAUUAUGACGAAAAACCUUAGAGUCUGAGGUCAAC
Molecule: small nucleolar RNA, 74 nt
Organism: Apodemus sylvaticus (European woodmouse)
Lineage: Eukaryota; Metazoa; Chordata; Mammalia; Rodentia; Muridae
Product: small nucleolar RNA SNORD113/SNORD114 family
Exons: 1
Source: RefSeq, a predicted model, not a curated record